GCCUCUGUGGUGUAGUGGUAGCACGCAUCGCCGCUAUGGAUGAAACGCGGGUUAAACUCCCGUUUGAGGUCA
Molecule: non-coding RNA, 72 nt
Organism: Parelaphostrongylus tenuis
Lineage: Eukaryota; Metazoa; Nematoda; Chromadorea; Rhabditida; Metastrongylidae
Source: the annotation of a GenBank genome assembly